RNAcentral lists this transfer RNA (72 nucleotides) under Balaenoptera acutorostrata scammoni. Its description in RNAcentral is "tRNA-Glu (CTC) (tRNA-Glu-CTC-2-1)". It matches the Rfam family "tRNA". From Rfam's summary of the family: Transfer RNA (tRNA) molecules are approximately 80 nucleotides in length. Their secondary structure includes four short double-helical elements and three loops (D, anti-codon, and T loops). Further hydrogen bonds mediate the characteristic L-shaped molecular structure. tRNAs have two regions of fundamental functional importance: the anti-codon, which is responsible for specific mRNA codon recognition, and the 3' end, to which the tRNAs corresponding amino acid is attached (by aminoacyl-tRNA synthetases). tRNAs cope with the degeneracy of the genetic code in two manners: having more than one tRNA (with a specific anti-codon) for a particular amino acid; and 'wobble' base-pairing, i.e. permitting non-standard base-pairing at the 3rd anti-codon position. Lineage: Eukaryota; Metazoa; Chordata; Mammalia; Artiodactyla; Balaenopteridae. The record is from RNAcentral.
UCCCUGGUGGUCCAGUGGUUAGGACUCGGCACUCUCACUGCCGUGGCCUGGGUUCGAUCCCCGGUCAGGGAA